Peromyscus maniculatus bairdii (prairie deer mouse) is the source of this 447-nucleotide non-coding RNA. The record is from RefSeq and is a predicted model, not a curated record. Lineage: Eukaryota; Metazoa; Chordata; Mammalia; Rodentia; Cricetidae.
UGUGAACUCAAGGCUAGCCUGGUCUACUUAGAGAGUUCUACCCUGUCUUAAAAAAAAAAAAAAAAAAAAAAGGCACAAUGCAGAAUGAAGCUGCCGCCUGCCUUAAUUCAGGCCUUGAAGUACAUCUUGUCCCUGUGAGACUGGAGCUGGGUGCCUGCUGUUGCUUCUGUACAGUGUUCUCUUCGGAGCCAUAUGGUCCCCAUCUCUGCUCUCUGCCUGAGUCCACACAGGCCUGCAUAGAGGUGUGACAGCUGUCUGUCCACGGUCCAUUUCCCUUCCUCUUUCUCUAGCUGGUCCUCAAGUUUGAUGAAACUGAUCUGAGCCAUCGGAUUAAAACUUCUUAAAGAUGUCAUCUUCCACUGACCUCUUGGCCCCUAUGGUUUUGGGUGAGAAAUUAACUGUUAAUUCUUCCUGAGAUUCCCUCAAUAAAAUGAGUCAAAUCAACCA